This 1025-nucleotide long non-coding RNA is filed under the name Nicotiana benthamiana. RNAcentral describes it as "long non-coding RNA (NBEN_LNC005959)". Lineage: Eukaryota; Viridiplantae; Streptophyta; Magnoliopsida; Solanales; Solanaceae. The record is from RNAcentral.
CAAAUUAUCAAUACUCAUCUCCUCCUCCACCAGUGCAUGUCUAUCCAUCACCACCCCAUCACCCUGUAUAUAAGUCUCCACCACCACCUAAGAAGCCCUACCACCCUUCACCAACCCCAUAUCAUCCUGUACCCGUUUAUAAAUCUCCACCCCCACCAACUCCAGUUUACAAGUCGCCACCACCACCCAAGAAGCCACAAUAUCCUCCACACAUCCCGGUUUAUAAGUCGCCACCACCACCAACUCCCGUUUACAAGUCACCACCACCACCCAAGAAGCCACACUACCCUCCACACAUCCCUGUUUAUAAGUCACCACCACCGCCCAAGAAGCCAUACUAUCCUCCACAUACUCCAGUUUACAAGUCGCCACCACCACCAACUCCGGUUUACAAGUCACCACCGCCACCCAAGAAACCAUACUAUCCUCCACACAUCCCUGUUUACAAAUCUCCACCACCACCUACUCCAGUUUACAAGUCGCCACCACCACCCAAGAAGCCAUACUACCCUCCACACACCCCGGUUUAUAAGUCUCCACCACCACCAACUCCUGUUUACAAGUCACCACCACCACCCAAGAAGCCAUACUAUCCUCCACACACACCAGUUUACAAGUCGCCACCACCACCUACUCCCGUUUACAAGUCACCACCACCACCAACACCCGUUUACAAGUCACCACCACCACCUAAGAAGCCACACCAUCCUUCACCAACCCCAUAUCAUCCUGCACCAGUUUACAAGUCCCCACCACCACCUAAGAAGCCAGACCACCCUUCACCAACACCGUAUCAUCCUGCACCAGUUUACAAAUCCCCACCGCCACCUACUCCAGUUUACAAGUCACCACCACCUUCAGUGAAGCCAUACCAUCCUUCACCAACACCAUAUCAUCCUGCACCAGUUUAUAAGCCUCCACCACCACCAACUCCUGUCUACAAGUCACCUCCACCACCAACUCCAGUCUACAAGUCUCUACCACCGCACCACCCCUAUCUUUACACUUCUCCUCCUCCUCCCUAC